UACGUAGUGUGCAAGCGUUAAUCGGAAUUACUGGGCGUAAAGCGUGCGCAGGCGGUGAUGUAAUACAGUUGUGAAAUCCCCGGGCUCAACCUGGGAACUGCAUCUGUGACUGCAUUGCUGGAGUGCGGCAGAGGGGGAUGGAGUUCCGCGUGUAGCAGUGAAAUGCGUAGAUAUGCGGAGGAACACCGAUGGCGAGGGCAGCCCCCUGGGCCGACACUGACGCUCAGGCACGAAAGCGUGGGGAGCAGACAGG
This 253-nucleotide ribosomal RNA is filed under the name uncultured bacterium. RNAcentral describes it as "partial 16S ribosomal RNA". It matches the Rfam family "Bacterial small subunit ribosomal RNA", at positions 524 to 776 of the family's 1533-position model. The record is from RNAcentral.